Molecule: ribosomal RNA, 253 nt
Filed under: uncultured bacterium
Lineage: Bacteria
Description: partial 16S ribosomal RNA
Rfam family: Bacterial small subunit ribosomal RNA
Source: RNAcentral
UACAGAGGGUGCAAACGUUGCUCGGAAUUACUGGGCGUAAAGCGCGUGUAGGCGGACCAGCACGUCAGGCGUGAAAUCCCUAGGCUCAACCUAGGAACUGCACCUGAAACUUCCGGUCUGGAGUAGUGGAGAGGAAAGCAGAAUUCCUGGUGUAGAGGUGAAAUUCGUAGAUAUCAGGAGGAACACCGGUGGCGAAGGCGGCUUUCUGGACACUUACUGACGCUGAGACGCGAAAGCGUGGGGAGCAAACAGG